GCGGCUAUGGCGAAAUUGGUAUACGCACCAGGCUUAGGACUUGGCGGGUUAUCCAUGGGGGUUCGAGUCCCUCUAGCCGUA
Klebsormidium nitens is the source of this 81-nucleotide transfer RNA. It matches the Rfam family "tRNA". Rfam says of the family: Transfer RNA (tRNA) molecules are approximately 80 nucleotides in length. Their secondary structure includes four short double-helical elements and three loops (D, anti-codon, and T loops). Further hydrogen bonds mediate the characteristic L-shaped molecular structure. tRNAs have two regions of fundamental functional importance: the anti-codon, which is responsible for specific mRNA codon recognition, and the 3' end, to which the tRNAs corresponding amino acid is attached (by aminoacyl-tRNA synthetases). tRNAs cope with the degeneracy of the genetic code in two manners: having more than one tRNA (with a specific anti-codon) for a particular amino acid; and 'wobble' base-pairing, i.e. permitting non-standard base-pairing at the 3rd anti-codon position. The record is from Rfam. Lineage: Eukaryota; Viridiplantae; Streptophyta; Klebsormidiophyceae; Klebsormidiales; Klebsormidiaceae.